RNAcentral lists this ribosomal RNA (463 nucleotides) under uncultured bacterium. RNAcentral's name for it is "partial 16S ribosomal RNA". It matches the Rfam family "Bacterial small subunit ribosomal RNA", at positions 355 to 810 of the family's 1533-position model. The record is from RNAcentral.
UAGGGAAUCUUCCACAAUGGACGCAAGUCUGAUGGAGCAACGCCGCGUGAGUGAAGAAGGUCUUCGGAUCGUAAAGCUCUGUUGUUGGUGAAGAAGGAUAGAGGCAGUAACUGGUCUUUAUUUGACGGUAAUCAACCAGAAAGUCACGGCUAACUACGUGCCAGCAGCCGCGGUAAUACGUAGGUGGCAAGCGUUGUCCGGAUUUAUUGGGCGUAAAGCGAGCGCAGGCGGAAUGAUAAGUCUGAUGUGAAAGCCCACGGCUCAACCGUGGAACUGCAUCGGAAACUGUCAUUCUUGAGUGCAGAAGAGGAGAGUGGAACUCCAUGUGUAGCGGUGGAAUGCGUAGAUAUAUGGAAGAACACCAGUGGCGAAGGCGGCUCUCUGGUCUGCAACUGACGCUGAGGCUCGAAAGCAUGGGUAGCGAACAGGAUUAGAUACCCUGGUAGUCCAUGCCGUAAACGAU